Small nucleolar RNA from Scatophagus argus, 130 nucleotides. RefSeq annotates it as small nucleolar RNA SNORA68. The record is from RefSeq and is a predicted model, not a curated record. Lineage: Eukaryota; Metazoa; Chordata; Actinopteri; Scatophagidae. The transcript has a single exon.
CAUGCACCCAAACCCAAAGCUCGUAUCGUCUCGGUGGUACGAGUUUGUCUGGUGUGCAGACAGAAAUCGGAUCCUUGUCGCCUUUCUGAUGCUGCGGUGCCUCUGAAAGUGAAUUCAAGGGUCGACACGU